AUGGCUAUGAACUCUUAUUUAUCCUCUGUCACUUAUUAUUCAUAUUCAUAUAUUUAUCUUAUGUGACACUUAACCUACAUGAGAGAUAGAUAAAGACAUGGUUAAGGUCUCCAUGAUGAGAUGCAGUGGUCAUUGCUCAUUAUCCAUUGCAAGUCCCUUCCUAGUGGUAAAAUUAUAAAUAACGAUACCUAGUAUACUCCUAGUUAAAAUGCUACAUCGGUAUUAUCUGUGCGCUUGUGGAUCCUUUAUUUAUUUAUUUAUUUAUUUAUUUAUUUAUUUAUUUAUUUAUUUAUUACUAGAAAAGCAUAUAGAUUUAAUACCAGCACUUCUACAUCAUGUUAGGGAUGACAACCUAGCUUAAGUGAUAUUAAGUAAUUUUGACGCCGUUGCUUGGGAUAGGUUUAAGAGUCUAUUUUUAGUAGUUGCAUUAAGAAGUGUCAACAAGCAUUUUUGGCGCCAAUGCCGAGGAAGGUUAAAGCAAUAAAGGAUAAUGAGCAUCACUAUAUCAACUCAUGGAUUGAGCACCAUCCACCCUUCUCACUCAUGUAGCUUUACUUUGUUUUUUUCUAUUUUUAUUAUAUGCAGGGUAAUGUAUGAAUAGGUUUGAUCUCCCAGAUAACUUUAUUGAUAAUCCAGAGACAUUGACCAGGAAGACAAAGGCUAGGUUGAGAAGGAAUCAAUCAACAUUAUCAACAUCUCAGCUUGCCAAUCCUGCUGGGUCAGAAGAUCAACCUACUCAAAGUUUGACACCAGAGAUUGACGUAAUGGCUCACAAGUCACUUCAAGAGUUCUCAGCUCCCACUGUGGCCAACAUCCAUACUGGGCCAGCUGUGGAUAUUAAUUGGUCAUUUGAGCUCAAGCUGGUGCUGAUCAACAUGGUGCAAGCAAGCCACUUGUUGGCAGUCAUUAUAGACCAAUUAUAAACUCCCAACUUGAUCCAAAAGGAGAAGAAGGAAUCAUAUUAUAUACACACAUGCAUUUUAUUACUAACAAGAUCCACUUGUACCAUAGUGAUUAUAUUUUGCAGGAAUUAUAGUGCAACAAGUGGAAAUGUGCCAUACCACGAAGAAAGUGCAAAGUACCAAAAGACAUAUUCAGAAAUGCGCAAACCAAGAAAAUAGAGAAAGGCCCGAACAACGCAGAACUGGGCCUGAUCGUAACCACGGGAG
RNAcentral lists this long non-coding RNA (1169 nucleotides) under Sorghum bicolor (sorghum). RNAcentral describes it as "long non-coding RNA (SBIC_LNC017966)". The record is from RNAcentral. Lineage: Eukaryota; Viridiplantae; Streptophyta; Magnoliopsida; Poales; Poaceae.